UGAGGAAUAUUGGACAAUGGGCGCAAGCCUGAUCCAGCCAUGCCGCGUGCAGGAUGACGGUCCUAUGGAUUGUAAACUGCUUUUGUACAGGAAGAAACAGUUCUACGUGUAGAACCUUGACGGUACUGUAAGAAUAAGGAUCGGCUAACUCCGUGCCAGCAGCCGCGGUAAUACGGAGGAUCCAAGCGUUAUCCGGAAUCAUUGGGUUUAAAGGGUCCGUAGGCGGUUAGAUAAGUCAGUGGUGAAAGCCCAUCGCUCAACGGUGGAACGGCCAUUGAUACUGUCUGACUUGAAUUAUUAGGAAGUAACUAGAAUAUGUAGUGUAGCGGUGAAAUGCUUAGAGAUUACAUGGAAUACCAAUUGCGAAGGCAGGUUACUACUAAUGGAUUGACGCUGAUGGACGAAAGCGUGGGUAGCGAACAGGAUUAGAUACCCAUGUAGUCCCUGAGCGGGCUGGCAAGGCGCAU
Molecule: ribosomal RNA, 467 nt
Filed under: uncultured bacterium
Lineage: Bacteria
Description: bacterial SSU rRNA
Rfam family: Bacterial small subunit ribosomal RNA
Source: RNAcentral